Molecule: ribosomal RNA, 111 nt
Filed under: Alistipes sp.
Lineage: Bacteria; Pseudomonadati; Bacteroidota; Bacteroidia; Bacteroidales; Rikenellaceae
Description: partial 16S ribosomal RNA
Rfam family: Bacterial small subunit ribosomal RNA
Source: RNAcentral
ACAAUGGAGAGUUUGAUCCUGGCUCAGGAUGAACGCUAGCGGCAGGCUUAACACAUGCAAGUCGAGGGGCAGCAUAAGGUGUAGUAAUACAUUUGGUGGCGACCGGCGGAC